Callithrix jacchus (white-tufted-ear marmoset) is the source of this 1163-nucleotide long non-coding RNA. RefSeq lists it as uncharacterized. The record is from RefSeq and is a predicted model, not a curated record. NCBI's taxonomy places the organism in Eukaryota, Metazoa, Chordata, Mammalia, Primates, Cebidae.
AAUGAUCGCAGACAAACACCAGCAUUUACUAAAGCUGAAGGGACAGCAAAUUGCUAGAGCACUUUCCCAACCCCUUUGCAUUUAUCCUGAUUUCUUUUCCAAGAAUGAUAUGUGAUCCAAUUAGAGAGUUAAUGAAAGCAUUAGGGAGUUCAUAAAAAGCAAAGGCUUAUAUUAAACAUACUAAACAGCUUGUCCUUUGACCAUAGGUGGUAAGAUGGUGGAACCAGCUUACAUCUAUUUUGCUACCAUAGAUUCUAGCCAAAUGAAGGGUAUAAUGUUCUCAAUUCUGACAUACAAGAAACUACACCAGAUCUGCAUUUCCACCUGGUCACAACCACCUGUAGCUGGAUGGUUGUGCUCUCCUUACACUGGUCUUGUACUGGAGUCUCAAGUUCCUGGCCAGUGGACUUCACGUAUUUAAGUUACCUGCUUGGCUCCAAAAGGCAACUGAGAUUUUGUGUCAGAGCCAAAUACUUCUGCAGGAGAAUUCAAGAUGGUCAAAUAAGUGGAAGGAAGUUAGAGGAAAAAGAAGGUGAGGCCCAGCACAAUCUCAUGAGCUUCUGAAUAUAAAGUACAUUUCAUACUCAGACUCCUACAGUGACACCGGAUUUCUUCAAAAGCCUUCAGACUCUACUUAUAAUAGAUGGUUUCUGUAGAUCACCAAGUGGAGGUAACACUCCUGGAGCUGAGACCUAAACAGAAGACACCGAGGUGUUUGCAUUCUGUAGGCAGAAGCUGAAGACCAGACACAAGAGGCUACCGGCCUUAACCUGCGACGCUGUCCCCUAGAAGUAUUUUAAGUCGCUCAAAGGCAUUCAUCUUAUCUGAUUCAUCUUGUGCCCACUGGUGAUUCUAAUUCAGUGUCCUGACUGCAGGUGGAACAUUCACUAUGUUGAGAAGAGGGCUCCAAGCCAAGAAAAGGCUCAGGUGUCAAAAGUGACCUUCAUCCCUGUGGGAUAUGUGACCAAACCAGGAGCUUUUAAAUUAAGACUUCUUCCAUCACUGAGACAAGAACCUCUAUUAAAUACUUACUUGCUAAUCUGCACUUUUAAAAGAGCAUGUAUCAUAAAUACAAUGAACACCCUAAAAAUACAGCAAAGUAAAUAAAGAGGUAAAAUAAAUAAAGAAGGAAAAAUGAGAUAAGGCAUGGCAAUGCCUCUUCC